RNAcentral lists this ribosomal RNA (497 nucleotides) under uncultured bacterium. RNAcentral describes it as "partial 16S ribosomal RNA". It matches the Rfam family "Bacterial small subunit ribosomal RNA", at positions 29 to 507 of the family's 1533-position model. The record is from RNAcentral.
AGUGAACGCUGGCGGCAUGCCUAACACAUGCAAGUCGAACGACCGCACCGUAAGCUUUCUCCCUUACGGGUGGCGGCUGACGGACGGGUGACACGUGCAUCGCCUACCUCUUAGACUGGGGUGAUAACGGCGAACCAGAUCUACUACCGCAUCAUAUUUCCAACCGCUGGAUGCAAGGGAUCAAGACGGUUUUGCUGUCACUUAUAGCUGAUUCCGGGCUGCAUUAUCUAGUUGGUAAGGUAACGGCAUACCAAGGCUACGAUGCGUAGCCGAUCUGAGAGGGUGAUCGGCCACACUGGAACUGAGACACGGUCAAGACUCCUACGGGAGGCAGCAGUAGGGAAUAUUGCGCAAUGGGCGAAAGCCUGACGCAGCAACACCGCGUGAGUGAUGAAGGCCUUCGGAUCGUAAAACUCUGUUAUUAGGGAAGAAAAUAAGUGUAAGUAACUGUGGACGUUUUGACGGUACCCAAGCAGAAAGCCACGGCUAACUUCGUG